AUGAAGCUGGAAUUGCUAGUAAUGGCAGGUCAGCAUACUGCCGUGAAUACGUUCCCGGGCCUUGUACACACCGCCCGUCACACCAUGAGAGUUGGGAAUACCCGAAGCCUGUGAGCUAACUUAUAGAGGCAGCAGUCGAAGGUAGAAUCAAUGAUUGGGUGAAGUCGUAACAAGGUAGC
RNAcentral lists this ribosomal RNA (179 nucleotides) under uncultured bacterium. RNAcentral describes it as "partial 16S ribosomal RNA". It matches the Rfam family "Bacterial small subunit ribosomal RNA", at positions 1320 to 1500 of the family's 1533-position model. The record is from RNAcentral.